CUACGGGAGGCAGCAGUAGGGAAUUUUCGGCAAUGGGGGGAACCCUGACCGAGCAAUGCCGCGUGAAUGAAGAAGGUCUUCGGACUGUAAAGUUCUGUUAUGGGGAAAGAAAGUGCAUAAUAGGAAAUGAUUAUGUAUUGACGGUACCCGAUUAGAAAGCCCCGGCUAACUACGUGCCAGCAGCCGCGGUAAUA
RNAcentral lists this ribosomal RNA (194 nucleotides) under uncultured bacterium. Its description in RNAcentral is "partial 16S ribosomal RNA". It matches the Rfam family "Bacterial small subunit ribosomal RNA", at positions 339 to 525 of the family's 1533-position model. The record is from RNAcentral.